This is a long non-coding RNA of Bubalus bubalis (water buffalo), 757 nucleotides long. RefSeq lists it as uncharacterized. The record is from RefSeq and is a predicted model, not a curated record. The transcript is spliced from 2 exons. Lineage: Eukaryota; Metazoa; Chordata; Mammalia; Artiodactyla; Bovidae.
CAGCUGCGGAAACAUUCAGCCCGAGAGUGUACACAUGCAGACAUGAGACGCACACGGCCGUCCACACAAGCCAUCGUCAGCGGCAGUACCGUGCCAGCUCGCUCCUUAGUCACCUAACCACCCGCACUGUCACAUGGUUUCCAGCCUCCUGUGCAGGACUCCAGGGCCAGCUGAGGCAGGCCUGCCGACCCCGAGGCCAGGACCACCCGGGGCCAAGCCAGAAAACCCCGUGAUGCUGCCUGCGAUCACUUGGCCUUCCCUCUCGCGCUCAGCCCUGGCCCAGGUUCCCACGGCCUCCCUGAGCCCUCCCCCAGCCAGCGGGGCCAGGCUCCCACAGAGAAGGGAGGUCUAGGGGCUCUGCGCCCAGCUCAGGUCCUUCCCUCCGCACACAUUAAGGCCCACUCUGGGGCCAGGCAGAAAGGGAGACCAUCCCCAGGGCUGUGUCUGCAUCCCGGUGACCAAUUUAGGGUUUCUCAGCGAGAACCACCUGACCUGUGAUGAAUAGCUCCCUCUUGUCUGACAGAGAGCUUUCCCUCUCAGAACACCCUUCCCUCGCAAAGCGAGACCCCAGAGGGAGCCGGUGUCCUGUGUGGUGGUUCUUUUUCACACAUCUAGAGCACACGGGGCGGGGGAUGGUGGUGGUGCUGGUGUGUGAUUAAAACCUCCACACUCUCCCUUCCUCAAAUAAACCGACUUCUCUGCUCAUCCCGGUCCUUGAAAACAGAAGCACUAUUCAAAAAUAAAAAGGAAAAAAGAA